This 4103-nucleotide long non-coding RNA is filed under the name Brassica napus (rape). RNAcentral's name for it is "long non-coding RNA (BNAP_LNC001930)". Lineage: Eukaryota; Viridiplantae; Streptophyta; Magnoliopsida; Brassicales; Brassicaceae. The record is from RNAcentral.
UGAAGGAAGUAGGCUCGAAGCAGAACUUCUUGCCAGCGUACUUUCCGGGUUUGAAGGAGAAAGUCUCGGAGCCACCGUCAAUAGUUGGGCACUGGUUGGCCGUUCCAGUUCCCUUAACUUCCAUGUAAGUCUUGCUCUGAAUCUCGUCGUAAGUCAGUCUCUUCGGAGCUCCCUCUGCACUUGCUCCCUUUCAUUACACCACAAACACAUAACAAUUUCAACUUAAUUGUGAUCCCAAUAAGCUUUCCAAUUCGUAAAAUCGUAUCAUGUACCAAUUUGGUACUAAUGAUACACGAAGAUUGUGAAUAUAACGCAUUCUAAUAUUCUGUUGUGAUAAUCUUAAAAUGCUAUUGGUUUAGUGUACUACUUUCAAGGUGGCAAGUUCGAUGCAUUGUUAGAAACUGUUAUUAACAGUUCGUAAUAAACUUAUAUGGAAGAACCGGUGAUAGGAGGAAGUUACCGAGACGACGAGAGCAGAGGUUGCGAGAGCGAAUCCAGCGAUUUUGACAGCGUCGGAGCAUUUACCGGCCAAGUCCUUGAAGUCAGAUUGGAAGGAACAUGUGAGGCGAGCAGAGGAUGUUUCUAGUCCGAAAGAUUUCCCGACUGUCUGAGUCGACCGGAGGUGAGCACUGCCGCGUGAAGGAGCGGUGGAGAUUUUAGCGGCCUGAAGGAACGUAGAGGCGGAUUGGAGAGAGGCAGCCAUGGCCACAAAGUCUCUCAAAAAAAUGUUUAAUGGUUGUCCUGAUCCGAAGCAGAGGAAAGACCUAAAACAGUAGUAACAUUCGUUAGGAGAGAGAGAGAGAUAAGAUUUGGGAUAAGGCGAGAAUUUUCAUUGGUUUGUUUUGUGGGAAUCGGAGUUACUGGUUUCUUCUCUUGCCACGUGUCCGAAUGCUAAGUGGUGAUAUGGAUACGGUCUCACUCACUGAUGCUGACAUAUACAAUUGUUGCAUUAAUUAAUUAAAAAAAAACUCAAAUGGCCCAUGCAGGUUUCGAACCUGCGACCUUCGCGUUAUUAGCACAACGCUCUAACCAACUGAGCCAAUGGUUCUUCGAUGCUUACAAAAAUUGUUAAUUACAUCUUCCUUGAGAAAAGCAAUCCAAGGAAGCAACGGUUUGCUACGUUCGGGUGUUUAAUCUACGACCGCUGUAAGGGACUGAAGCUUGGAAGCCCUUGAGCAGCUUAAGUUGACUGAACCACCGGUUUUCCUAGCGCCAAGUUCGAUAUCAGAGGUGGCUCGUGUUGCAUCAUCUCUUCAUCAAGUUGAAGCAGCACAGCUCUAAAUCUCCUAAUUUUGACGAGCUAUUGGUUGAGCAGCAUAAUCUGCAGUCUCUUUGCGUCAGGAAGUAAAGCGUUUUGCUAAUACCCCCUGAAGAGAUUGGAUAAAAACAACAGUUAUUGUUCAUGUCAGAAAUAAUUUUUUUUUUUUUUUUUCUUAACCUAGUAUAUUUAAUACUUUUCGUUAAUUGACUAUAAUCCGUAAGAUGGAAUUUAACAUGCUUCAGAGCAUGUGAUAGAUUGUACUAACACACACGCUUGUAGAAUCUACUGUAAGAAUAUCUUUGAAUUUGUGAUGAGUGUAUGCAAGAUCUGUAGUGUACGUUUCUGUAUGAAUCCGAUAUCUCUAGAUAUAAAAUAGAAUUGUCCCCGAGAAGUUUACAUAAUUUCAUUAUUCAUAUAUAUAUAUAUAUAUAUACUAGUUCUAGAGGUUUAAAACUUAAGAGAGAAUCUCUCUGAAAUCUGCAUUGUUAUGUGCUGUCCCACGCCAAUGAAGUUGUCUGUGUUCUUUCAUGUUUCGAGAUUUAAGACCAAGCACAGACCAAUAAUGUUUUAUUUAUAAGUUAAACACUGUUUUGUUUAAUGUUCACACCCAUGCACAUUAAAUACAGGGUAAGUAAGGUCCAUAAGGAGCAAGCUGAUUAGACUACAUUAUUUAUACGAAUUUAUAAAACCUAAUUUCCACUUGUUAUUCGCCAGUAUAUUAAACUAAUUUCAUAUAAAUAUAUCAAAAGGCAAACCAACUAAUUCAUUGAUUAUCAAAAUGGUUCGACUGCAAACUUAUAAAUUUAAAAAUUAUAAAAUAAUAAUAAUUUUGCUUUGAAGUUAUUUUCUUGUUCGUCUUGGAAACAAGCUGUAAAUAAAAUUACCACUGUAUUUAAGAAGCAUAAAUAAUAUUCUAUUUGUUUCAAAAAAAUGUAUGUUUUGAAUAUUUUUCAAAACAUUUUAAAUAUUGAUUAUAAAUGUAUUAUUUAUGAUUAAUUAGUUUCCACAAUUUUUUAGCAAAUCAAAAUUUAAUAAACACCGAUAAUUUUUCUCAAAAUUUACAAUUACCAUUAUUAGUUAGUAAAUAUACACUGAAAUUCAAAACAAGUUUUUUGUAGAAUAUAUAUAAUUUUGAAAAGGAGGGAAUAAUUCACAGUAACCUGGUUAGAGAUUACAUAACUCAUCAUAACUUACCAUUAUUAGACCAUAUGAUUAAAGUUAAAUAGAGGACUAUAUAUGGAUACAAAAAAAACUUAAGAUUUAGGGCAUGUGCAUUUUUUUAUAAUAGAAGAAGAAGAAACAUCAAAAGAUGUACUCAUUGUAAUCAAAUACAAAGAGAAGAUGUUUAGAUAUGAUAACAUGAUCACUCAAGUUGACCAUACCACACCCCUUGGAUCUUCACAUCCUUUGGUACCUUGGCACCCAAGUCAGUAUCCGACGGCUGAAGACUUUCGAACACUCCGAUCACUUCUCCUGUCUCGGAUUUGCUCUUUGUCACUUUCAAAGUGAUCUCUCCCACCGAAGCUGCCGUGUUCUUCACGUUCUCCUUAGAAAGCUCCUCUUCGUCGCCUCUGCCUCCAGCUGGCAAUGCAACGGCGUUGUCAUAUCCUGUGGAACCACCACGGCCCUUAGGGUCCAAGAAGGAGGAGCCACGGUAUGAAGGGACUAAGAAUUUGCCAGAGAAGUUGUCUGGUUUGCCAGAGGCGUCAAGCUGCUUGACGGUGAAGAGGAAUGGCACACGCUCGCCUCCUGGAAGCUGGACAGUGACAGCAGCGUAGUCGAUGCCGUCUUCUUCCUUGAAGUUAACGCUUCCGUCAGAAGAAACCUGCUCGAGAACCGAUUAUAAAAAGAAUCACAAACCCUAUUCGUAACCAAUAAAACAGACAGUUUCUUGCGGUGGAAGCAAAAAGAAAAAAAAGAAAAAGAAAAACCUCGAAGGGGCCUUCGAUCUCGUCAAGAGUGUAGGUGAGACGGGUCAUGAGCUUGGUGUUCUGGAAAUCAGGAGGCGCAUUCUUGCUAACACUCUCAGCCUUGACGGUGAAGGAAGUAGGCUCGAAGCAGAACUUCUUGCCAGCGUACUUUCCGGGUUUGAAGGAGAAAGUCUCGGAGCCACCGUCAAUAGUUGGGCACUGGUUGGCCGUUCCAGUUCCCUUAACUUCCAUGUAAGUCUUGCUCUGAAUCUCGUCGUAAGUCAGUCUCUUCGGAGCUCCCUCUGCACUUGCUCCCUUUCAUUACACCACAAACACAUAACAAUUUCAACUUAAUUGUGAUCCCAAUAAGCUUUCCAAUUCGUAAAAUCGUAUCAUGUACCAAUUUGGUACUAAUGAUACACGAAGAUUGUGAAUAUAACGCAUUCUAAUAUUCUGUUGUGAUAAUCUUAAAAUGCUAUUGGUUUAGUGUACUACUUUCAAGGUGGCAAGUUCGAUGCAUUGUUAGAAACUGUUAUUAACAGUUCGUAAUAAACUUAUAUGGAAGAACCGGUGAUAGGAGGAAGUUACCGAGACGACGAGAGCAGAGGUUGCGAGAGCGAAUCCAGCGAUUUUGACAGCGUCGGAACAUUUACCGGCGAAGUCCUUGAAGUCAGAUUGGAAGGAACAUGUGAGGCGAGCAGAGGAUGUUUCUAGUCCGAAAGAUUUCCCGACUGUCUGAGUCGACCGGAGGUGAGCACUGCCGCGUGAAGGAGCGGUGGAGAUUUUAGCGGCCUGAAGGAACGUAGAGGCGGAUUGGAGAGAGGCAGCCAUGGCCACAAAGUCUCUCAAAAAAAUGUUUAAUGGUUGUCCUGAUCCGAAGCAGAGGAAAGACCUAAAACAGUAGUAACAUUCGUUAGGAGAGAGAGAGAGAU